ACCCCAGGUCAGGGGGGGCUACCCGCGA
This 28-nucleotide ribosomal RNA is filed under the name Morus bombycis. RNAcentral describes it as "partial 28S ribosomal RNA". The record is from RNAcentral. Lineage: Eukaryota; Viridiplantae; Streptophyta; Magnoliopsida; Rosales; Moraceae.